This 19-nucleotide microRNA is filed under the name Rattus norvegicus (Norway rat). Its description in RNAcentral is "rno-miR-185-3p". Its record names the gene rno-miR-185-3p. The record is from miRBase by way of RNAcentral. Lineage: Eukaryota; Metazoa; Chordata; Mammalia; Rodentia; Muridae.
UUUCCUCUGGUCCUUCUCU